Molecule: long non-coding RNA, 2260 nt
Organism: Planococcus citri (citrus mealybug)
Lineage: Eukaryota; Metazoa; Arthropoda; Insecta; Hemiptera; Pseudococcidae
Exons: 4
Source: RefSeq, a predicted model, not a curated record
GUGUUUUUGUAGCAUUUAAUUGUGCUUGUUCUGGUUGAAAAUAUUGAACUUCGUUGUGCAAAGGGGACUGAAAACUGUUGGAUUACCUAUUCACCCUCCCUCUCCCAAAACCCGAAAAGCUGGAUAUCCUGUGGGCUUUGGUGAAAAAGUACAGUGCUAUACUCCACAAUGUAAAAACGGAUUCGAAAAGUAAUGUCGUGAAAAACCAAGCUUGGGAGAAAAUUACAACCGAAUUUAACUCAAAUUGCAACAUUACAAAGCGCACUCGUCAACAACUCCAAUAGAAAUACAAUAACGAAAAAAGUAAGCGAAAAGAGAAACUAGCCGCUGAAAAACGACUCCUGAUGGGUACUGGAGGCGGACCGCAUACCCAAACCCUCCCUCUAGAACCAGAACUAGACGAUGCCGCCAACAUCUCCAUAGUCACUGAAAUAAAUUCACUAAUACCAGAUUCGGACACCCUGCAGUUGGCCAGACAUGAUGCGGCACCUGAUUUUCUUGUUUGAAAUAAUAGAUUGGUGUUAUUUAACAACCAAGAGGAAAAUGAUGAUGAUUACUUGAUUAUAAUAAUGAAACGAUCGUGGAUGAACCAGCAGCCACGCCCACAGUCACUCUUCCUAGUACCAAUCCGAUUAAUACAUCAGCUGCAUCUGUUGCACAGUCUACCAGACCUAGAGUUCCUACUGCAGCUCCAUCAACGUCAACUGAUUACACACCUGUAAAAAAAACUUCUAAAAAACGUUCUCAAACAGCAGUGAAUGUCUUUAGUGGAAGAAAUUAUUGAACGACGUGCCAUCAACAAAGAGCUGAUGAGUUAUAAAAUAAAGAAGGCCAAAUUGGAACUUGAGUUGAUGGAGUUGCAGUUGAGGAAGGCUGCUGAAAACUAAAGAGGAGAAAUAAUUCUCUUGUUAGUUGUUUUACUUGUUUUCAUUUACGCAAAUGCUACUUUGAUUUAGGUAUUCAAAGAGUUUAAUUCUUUUUAAUUUAUUGAUGUAAGAUUCAUUUAGAAUUGACAAGUGUGGUAGUGUGUAUUUAUAAUUUUAUUGUAUCUAUUCUAUUACUUAGGGAUCAAAUUUGUUUUCUAUGUAUGUAAUUGAUAUAAGAUUGAUUGAGAAGUUUCGUUUUUUUAAAAAUUGGGUGCUAGUUAUGUAUGAUUUCAAUUUCAUUGAUCUCUUUGUUUUUAUUUAGGUAUACGUUUACUAGUUUUACUGUAAACAGUUCAGUUUGCGGAUUUUUAUUGAGAAGUGAAAUUUUAUUAUUUCUAAUUUUAUUCAUUUUAUUGUUGAUCUCUUUGUUUUUAUUUAGGUAUACUUAAGGUGCACCGGGGGAAGUUGGAAUUCGGGGUAAGUUAGAAAACUUGCUCUAGCGCCUAGAGGUUUAUAUCUGGCGAAGUGCUACUAAAGGUGACUUGAGGGUACUACCCCUACUUCAUCUUGGCAUAAAAAUUUUCGCGAUUCAGUUUCAUUUGAGAUGUCUUUGGUUCAAUUGUAUUUUGUUGUUGUUUUGCACUUGUUUUGAAUUUGUACUAAAAUACAGACUUUCCAUUUCUUAAUUUUUCGCAUAUAGCGGACGAACCGUGCGUCCUAGUGAAAAUCUGAUGAGAGUGAUCUCAAAGAGAAUUAAAUUCUCUACAAUUUUGUUGAUAUGCAAUUUUUCUAGGACGCUCCGUUUGUGAUCUACAUCUCUGCAAAGUUUAGCCUGUUCUGACUUCCCCUAAUUGGGGGAAGUCAGAACAGUUUAUAUUUUAUUCCACUGAGCGAAAGCUACUGUGUCAAUCGCGCUCAAAUUUUCACCAUAGGUUAAGAACCCUUAUGGGAACCUACAUAAUAAAUUUGAUCCAUAUUGGUUCAUUAGAAGGGGAGUAACAGCAGGUCAAAGUUGAAAUUGCGAAAAAUCAUUCUGACUUGCUCCGGUGCACCUUACGUAAACAGUUUCGGUUUGCGGACUUUUAUUGAGAAGUGAGAUUUUAUUAUUUCUAAUUUUGUUCAUUUUAUUGUUGAUCUCUUUGUUUUUAUUUAGGUAUACUUACCUUAAACAGUUUAGUUUGUUGUUUUAAGAUUUAUUGAAAAGUUAAUUUCAUUGUUUCACAUUAUUGUGUUGUUUACGGAUCGAAUUCGUGUUUUACAUAUCAAUAUAGUUAUAUUAUUGGUAAAGUAGGUGCUGGUUAUGUGUGAUCUCAUCGAUCUCCUUUUCAUUUUGGUAUAGGUACUCUAAAGAGUUCAAAUUUGUAAAUUUAGGAAUAAAGAUUUAUUGAGAAAAA